AAGUAGCCAAAAAAUUUGCAAGAGCCACCAAGGACUUGAGAUUUUAUAUUCUAAAACAUGAAGAGAAGAGUUGUUAAAUGGCUGCUCUUCUUCUUCGUCGUCGUCGUCAUUUGUUCUAACAAUUCUCUCGUACACUCCUCGAGUGAAGCUGUGCCGUUCAUCUCAUCAUCAAAAGUUUCAGGUCAUCAUUAUGUCAACCCAUUGAUGGAGGGAAAACAACUCAACAAAAGUACGUUAUCCAUCUCACAUUCAUAUAUUUGAGUCAACCUAUUAAGGGUUCAAACCCUAUCGAGCAAAUCCGACGAGAUGUUCUUAAAAGGCAUGGAAGAAUGUUGAAGACAUUACAUAAUGAAGAAAUUAACGCUAGGGAGGAUGCAGGUGAAGAAAACAAAAAAGGGAAAGGAACCUACGGCGGCGGGGACCUUCUUCGGCCUCGUGCCAGAAAGAGUGGAGCCAACUCUUUACUUCUCAAAUCCUCACCACUUAUGCUUAGAUACCUCUUGCUAAUUGGCUUCCACCUCGCCACUAUCUUCUUCUUUUGAUUCCAGCUUUGGUUUUUAUUGAAGUAUAAUGCUUCCAUGCAUCGGGUUUGUAUCUUGCUUAUGUUCAAGUUAUUCAUAUAUUUUUCUCAAUGAGGAAAGAUAUAAUAUUCAUAUAUUA
Gossypium arboreum is the source of this 660-nucleotide RNA transcript. RefSeq lists it as uncharacterized. The record is from RefSeq and is a predicted model, not a curated record. The transcript is spliced from 2 exons. NCBI's taxonomy places the organism in Eukaryota, Viridiplantae, Streptophyta, Magnoliopsida, Malvales, Malvaceae.